RNAcentral lists this ribosomal RNA (344 nucleotides) under uncultured bacterium. Its description in RNAcentral is "partial 16S ribosomal RNA". It matches the Rfam family "Bacterial small subunit ribosomal RNA", at positions 338 to 699 of the family's 1533-position model. The record is from RNAcentral.
CCUACGGGAGGCAGCAGUGGGGAAUAUUGCACAAUGGGGGACACCCUGAUGCAGCGACGCCGCGUGAGUGAGGAAGUAUUUCGGUAUGUAAAGCUCUAUCAGCCGGGAAGAAAAUGACGGUACCUGACUAAGAAGCCGCGGCUAACUACGUGCCAGCAGCCGCGGGAAUACGUAGGGGGCAAGCGUAAUCCGGAUUGCAUGGGGGUAAAGGGAGCGUAGACGGGUAAGCAAGUCAGAAGUGAAGACCCAGGGCGCAACUUUUGGACUGCUUUUGAAGCUGCGUAGCUAGAGUGCAGGAGAGGUAAGCGGAAUUCAUAGUGUAGCGGUGAAAUGCGUAGAUAUUA